RNAcentral lists this ribosomal RNA (500 nucleotides) under uncultured bacterium. RNAcentral's name for it is "partial 16S ribosomal RNA". It matches the Rfam family "Bacterial small subunit ribosomal RNA", at positions 30 to 523 of the family's 1533-position model. The record is from RNAcentral.
AUUGAACGCUGGCGGCAGGCCUAACACAUGCAAGUCGAGCGGAUGAGAGGAGCUUGCUUCUCGAUUCAGCGGCGGACGGGUGAGUAAUGCCUAGGAAUCUGCCUGGUAGUGGGGGACAACGUUUCGAAAGGAACGCUAAUACCGCAUACGUCCUACGGGAGAAAGCAGGGGACCUUCGGGCCUUGCGCUAUCAGAUGAGCCUAGGUCGGAUUAGCUAGUUGGUGAGGUAAUGGCUCACCAAGGCGACGAUCCGUAACUGGUCUGAGAGGAUGAUCAGUCACACUGGAACUGAGACACGGUCCAGACUCCUACGGGAGGCAGCAGUGGGGAAUAUUGGACAAUGGGCGAAAGCCUGAUCCAGCCAUGCCGCGUGUGUGAAGAAGGUCUUCGGAUUGUAAAGCACUUUAAGUUGGGAGGAAGGGUUGUAGAUUAAUACUCUGCAAUUUUGACGUUACCGACAGAAUAAGCACCGGCUAACUCUGUGCCAGCCGCCGCAGUAA